UCUGCAUCACUGCCAUUUUUUUAAGCUGAUUGUUUCCAAGAUCUAUAUCAGGGAGAACAAAGGAAUCAAGCUGAUUAUUUUCUGAUUAUUUUUUGAGCUGAUUAUUUCCAAGAUCUAUAUCAGAGAGAGAAAAAAGAGGGAGAAACCUACGUGACCCCUAAUGACCGUGACUUAACUGCCCAUUAGGAGUCCGUUUCCAUUUCCCCUCUCCCGUGACAAGGUCCUGCGGCACCUUACUCUUUCUUUUUUUUCUCCCCACGAUACCCCACUGUUUUUUCCCCUUGACCGAGACCUACGACCUCUACUACAUCUGCUGCCACCGAAGAACUAGAGGAGAGAAACGAAGAGGAAAAGGAAGAGAAGGGAAGGAAAAGAAGGAAUAGAAGGGGAGGAGAAGUGGCUGCACAAACCCUAGGCUUUUGGAGGAUCAAGGUGGUGGUAUUGCUCCGGAUCGUGCCUAGUGCCGUUUGCAUCAUCGCUACAACUUUGACUUGUGGUUUAUUCUACCUGCACAUUAAUAAAUUCAGAAGCUUAACCAAAGAAAUAUUCCUUUACUAAAUAUUAUGUUAUUUGUUAAAUUACUUUAAUGCCUGUUCUAUAAUAAUAUUUGUGGUUGUUUACUCCAUCAUGAGGUAAAAGGUAUGUUUAAGUAUGUGGUUGUAUGUGGCAUAAGUGGUAAGCUUACUUGCAGUUGCACCAUAUCAUUGCAUCAUAUUGCAAUUCGUGGAUGUUGCCACUUGCUAGCCGCGACCGUAUCGGUACAGUAUCGUACGUUGCCUGAGGAGGGGUACGAUGCAGCUUCAUACCUUGUUGUGUACGGAGGCAGUGGACAUGGCAUAUGCAUUGCAUUUGCACUCGUUGUAGUUUAUAUAUUUGAGUAUUAUGCAUCAACAUGGAAGUGGAUAUGAGGUCUUGAUCAUCUGAAGUUAAUGUGCGGUUGCGGUUUAUUCUUUUUUUUCUAUGAGGAUGGCUUUCACAAUGAUCUCGUUUAUCUUAUUUUAUCAUGUAUCUAUAUUUAAAUUAAUGAACAAUGAACCCGUAGAUUAAAUAACUUGUUAAAGCAGUUUGCUUGUUGAGAUUUAUUCUCACACCCCUUUGUCUUUCCAGGUGCUUAAGUGGAUGCUUUGCUUGAAGGGAUGGGAUGGUUCACGUCUUCACAUAUUUGCUACUUUCCUUUUAUAAUAAUAAUGAUACAUUUGUCUUGCUGUAAUGAACAUAGAGUAGACCUUGUGGUGACCCCUUGUGCUUUCUUAAUAAUGAGUGUGGUUGAUCUUUGUUAAUUGUUAUCUUGUUAAAUUGCUCUUUAAAUGC
This is a long non-coding RNA of Setaria italica (foxtail millet), 1311 nucleotides long. RefSeq lists it as uncharacterized. The transcript has 2 exons. The record is from RefSeq and is a predicted model, not a curated record. NCBI's taxonomy places the organism in Eukaryota, Viridiplantae, Streptophyta, Magnoliopsida, Poales, Poaceae.